Molecule: ribosomal RNA, 643 nt
Filed under: uncultured bacterium
Lineage: Bacteria
Description: bacterial SSU rRNA
Rfam family: Bacterial small subunit ribosomal RNA
Source: RNAcentral
GCAGUCGGACGGUUCUAAGUUUAGAGGCUAGAGUCUAAGGGAUUAGACUGUAGUCCCUAAACUUAGGAUAGUGGCGAACGGGUGAGUAACACGUAAGUUACCUACCCUCAAGACGGGGAUAACAUUCCGAAAGGGAUGCUAAUACCCGAUGUGGUUAUAUACAAAUAUAUGGAGUAUAUAACUAAAGGGAAGCGGAAGCGACCGCUUGGGGAUGGGCUUGCGUCCCAUCAGCUAGUUGGUAGGGUAAAGGCCUACCAAGGCUAAGACGGGUAGCUGGCCUGAGAGGGUGGUCAGCCACACUGGGACUGAGACACGGUCCAGACUCCUACGGGAGGCAGCAGUUGGGAAUUUUCCGCAAUGGGCGAAAGCCUGACGGAGCGACACUGCGUGAGGGAAGAAGGCCUUCGGGUUGUAAACCUCUGUCGAGAGGGGAAGAUCACAGACGGUACCCUCAGAGGAAGCCCCGGCUAACUACGUGCCAGCAGCCGCGGUAAAACGUAGGGGGCGAGUGUUAUUCGGAAUUACUGGGCGUAAAGGGCGUGUAGGCGGUUAGGUGUAUCGGAGGUGAAAUCCUACGGCUCAACUGUAGGGGGUCUUUCGAGAUUACCUAACUAGAGGGUAGAAGAGGGAGAUGGAAUUCCCG